This is a small nucleolar RNA of Lactuca sativa (garden lettuce), 107 nucleotides long. NCBI's taxonomy places the organism in Eukaryota, Viridiplantae, Streptophyta, Magnoliopsida, Asterales, Asteraceae. The record is from RefSeq and is a predicted model, not a curated record.
AAGUCGUGUUGUGGACAAUUUCGAAGCAAUCCCUUGUAACGGUCCCAUGCUUCAUAUAAUAACUCACCAUCAGAUUGUUGAAAAUUUUAUAUAUUUUUCUUCAAUUU